UUUCACCUGCAGUUGAAGAUCCGUGAGGUGCCCAGAAGAUCAUGCAGUCAUCAGUCCCACGGAGCAGCCUGCGAGGCUGAGGCUCCUCCCACUGGACCGCCCCCCAACUGGCACCACUGCUGCCCCUGCCCCUACUCUCAGCCUCACGUGACUCUCGGGCAGAAGCAGUGGUGGGGCAGCCAGGGCAGCGUCAAGAGUCUGAGCCAGACAUGAUGGAGAGGAAAGCAUCAUCAUGGUCAUUCUCUGUCUCACUGUCCAGCAGGGACUCCCCUGAGGGGCCCAGGGCUCCUCCUCCAUGGUGGGAGGUGAGCUUUUACCAGGUUCCACCACCCCCAAAGUGUGUGGGGUUGCGGGCCCUGGGCUUUCAGGGCAGGUGGCUCCAGGGGGCUGCCCAGGGUCAACACUCCCUGUCCCACCUGGUGGACGCUCAUGAGCAACGGCUGCCAACUUGGCAGGUUGUUUUCUCUGGUUGGAGGCCACUGAGUGACUGGCAGGUUGCUGGGCCUCGUGUGGCUGCAGGGAGGGGUCAGGAAGGGGAUGGAGUACCAGGAGAACACGGCCGCAGAGUGACCUUCCACAUUCCUCCACACGAACAUGCUGACGCCACGGGAGGCCUCACUGAACGCAGGCCUGGGGGCCGAGCACUUGGUCCGGGCAGGGGGUUCCUGGCAGGGGCUCACACCUCCUCGCCCCCUCCUCAGCCAAGGUGGCUUGGGCCCAGAGAAGGGGAGGUUGGAGAGGAGCAGAAGGCCAGGCCUCAAUUCGAGCAUCUUAAAAUGAUUCAACAGGAGGAGAUAAGGAAGCUCGAGGAAGAGAAAAAACAACUGGAAGGAGAAAUCAUAGAUUUUUAUAAAAUGAAAGCUGCCUCUGAAGCACUGCAGACUCAGCUGAGCACCGAUACAAAGAAAGACAAACAUCCUGAUCCAUAUGAAUUCCUCUUAUUAAGAAAAAUAAAACAUCCAGGAUUCAAUGAAGAACUGACUAUCACCUUGUUAAUCAUUCAGAAACAUGUUGCAGGCUUAAGCCAUUUUUGA
RNAcentral lists this long non-coding RNA (1034 nucleotides) under Homo sapiens (human). Its description in RNAcentral is "non-protein coding lnc-PLPP2-2:1". Lineage: Eukaryota; Metazoa; Chordata; Mammalia; Primates; Hominidae. The record is from RNAcentral.